UACGGGGGGCGCAAGCGUUGUUCGGAUUUACUGGGCGUAAAGGGCGCGUAGGCGGCCACCGCAAGUCAAUUGUGAAAUCUCCGGGCUUAACUCGGAAAGGUCAACUGAUACUGCGGGGCUAGAGUGCGGAAGGGGCAACUGGAAUUCUCGGUGUAGCGGUGAAAUGCGUAGAUAUCGAGAGGAACACCUGCGGCGAAGGCGGGUUGCUGGGCCGACACUGACGCUGAUGCGCGAAAGCCAGGGGAGCGAACAGG
RNAcentral lists this ribosomal RNA (254 nucleotides) under uncultured bacterium. Its description in RNAcentral is "partial 16S ribosomal RNA". It matches the Rfam family "Bacterial small subunit ribosomal RNA", at positions 524 to 776 of the family's 1533-position model. The record is from RNAcentral.